AGUAAUAACGAACCGUGAGAAGUCAGCAGAGGUCAUAGUAACCGACAAGGUAAAAAAAUCGGCAGUCGGUGAAGGAC
Molecule: non-coding RNA, 77 nt
Filed under: Bacteroides thetaiotaomicron
Lineage: Bacteria; Pseudomonadati; Bacteroidota; Bacteroidia; Bacteroidales; Bacteroidaceae
Source: RNAcentral